RNAcentral lists this ribosomal RNA (3052 nucleotides) under marine metagenome. Its description in RNAcentral is "bacterial LSU rRNA". It matches the Rfam family "Bacterial large subunit ribosomal RNA". The record is from RNAcentral.
AUUAAUUGAAAAGAGCAUUUGGUGAAUGCCUUGGUAUCAGGAGGCUAUGAAGGAGGCGGAAGACUGCCAAAAGCUUCGGGGAGCUGUCAAUCGAGCUACGAUCCGAAGAUUUCCGAAUGGGGAAACCCGGCUAGGUAAAACCUAGUCAUUCUUAUCUGAACACAUAGGAUAAGGAAGCGAACGGUGCGAACUGAAACAUCUCAGUAGUGCCAGGAAGAGAAAACGAAGUGAUUCCCUCAGUAGUGGUGAGCGAAAGGGGAAGAGCCUAAAAUCAUGCUAUGUAAGCCUAUACGCGUUGUAGCAUGGUGGUUGUGGGAUACGAACGUACGAAAUGUGUAGAUUUCGUGUCGUAAUUUUUAACUUAGUCGAAUUGUUCUGGAAAGGACAGCUAUAAAGAGUGACAGCCUCGUAGACGAAAAGUUAAAAAGAGCGAUUGUUUGUACACCCGAGUAUCACGGAGCACGAGAAAUUCCGUGAGAAUCUGCCCCGACCAUGGGGUAAGGCUAAAUACUACCUGAUGACCGAUAGUGAACUAGUACCGUAAGGGAAAGGUGAAAAGAACCCCGGAAGGGGAGUGAAAUAGAAACUGAAACCAAAUGUUUAUAAUCGGAGGAAGCGAUGUAUACGUACGCGCAACCUCGUACCUUUUGCAUAAUGGACCAACGAGUUACUCCUAUAUUGCAAGGUUAAGCUUAGAAAGAGCGGAGCCGUAGCGAAAGCGAGUCUUAAUAGGGCGCAUAGUAAUAUGGGGUAGACCCGAAACCAAGUGAGCUAACCAUGUCCAGGAUGAAGUCCUCGUAACAGAGGAUGGAGGUCCGAACCGGUGUAGGCUGAAAACUGCUCGGAUGAGGUGUGGUUAGGGGUGAAAGGCCAAUCAAACUUGGAAAUAGCUGGUUCUCCCCGAAAUAUAUUUAGGUAUAGCCUUGGUGAAUUUCUUGUGGUGGUAAAGCACAGUUUAGAUUUUAGGGGCAUAAGCUUACUAAGUCUUUACUAACUCUGAAUGCUACAAGUUUAGAAACCAGGAGUCAGACUGCGGGAGAUAAGUUCCGUAGUCAAGAGGGAAACAGCCCAGACCAUCAGCUAAGGUCCCAAAGUUGAAACUAAGUGGAAAACGAAGUGGGAUUGCCCAGACAGCCAGGAUGUUGGCUUAGAAGCAGCCAUCAUUUAAAGAAAGCGUAAUAGCUCACUGGUCAAGUGUUUUUGCGCUGAAAAACAAACGGGGCUUAAAUGGAUUACCGAAGCUAUGGCAUACUCUUUUAGAGUGUGGGUAGGGGAGCGUUCUUUGAUAGAUACAAGCUUGACCGUAAGGACAGGUGGUGGAUCAAAGAAGUGAGAAUGUUGGUAUAAGUAACGAAAAAACAGGUGAGAUUCCUGUUCGCCGAAAAUCUAAGGUUUCCGUGAGAUCGGUUUAUCCACUCAGGGUUAGUCGGCCCCUAAGUCGAGGCCAAUUGGAGUAGACGAUGGGAAGCAGGUUAAAUAUUCCUGCACCGUUUUUGAGCGUUUGAGCGAUGGAGUGACGCAGUAAGGUAGGUUGACUUGGCAUAUGGUUUACCAAGCUAAGCACUUAGAGGGAUUCUAUUGGCAAAUCCGUAGAAUCAUUACCUUGAAAUGUUAUGGGUACAUCAAUCCUUUAUGGAGAGAUGUGUUCAGCUGAUCCUACACUGACUAGAAAACCUUCUAGCAAGCUUUAAAAACGACCGUACCGUAAACUGACACAGGUAGAUGGGCUGAGAAUGCUCAGGCGUUGAGAUAACUAUCAUUAAGGAACUCGGCAAAUUGACUCCGUAACUUUGGGAAAAGGAGUGCCUACAGUGUUACUAGUAUAUUUUUUAUAUUGGGAAGCACUGGUAGGUUGCAACAAAGCGGCCCAACCGACUGUUUAGCAAAAACACAGGGCUCUGCGAACUCGAAAGAGGAAGUAUAGAGUCUGACGCCUGCCCAGUGCUGGAAGGUUAACAGGAGGGGUUAGUUCUUCGGAACGAAGCUCUGAAUCGAAGCCCCAGUAAACGGCGGCCGUAACUAUAACGGUCCUAAGGUAGCGAAAUACCUUGUCGGGUAAAUUCCGACGCGCAUGAAUGGCGUAACGAGUUGGGCACUGUCUUGAUGAUAGACUCAGUGAGAUUGUAGUACAAGUGAAAAUGCUUGUUACCCGCGAUAGGACGGAAAGACCCCGUGCACCUUUACUAUAGCUUGACAUUGAUUUUUGGGUGUGUUUGUGUAGGAUAGGCGGGAGACUUUGAUAUUACGGCGCUAGCUGUGAUGGAGUCGUCCUUGAAAUACCGCCCUUAUACGUUUGAAUUUCUAACUUUGAAUGUCCGUAAUCCGGACAAAGGACAGUGUCUGGUGGGUAGUUUGACUGGGGUGGUCGCCUCCUAAAUUGUAACGGAGGUGUUCUAAGGUUUUCUCAUGACGAAUAGAAAUCGUCGGAAGAGCGUAAAGGCAGAAGAAAGCUUAACUGCGAGACAUACAGGUCGAGCAGGUACGAAAGUAGGACUUAGUGAUCCGGUGGUUCCGAAUGGAAGGGCCAUCGCUCAACGGAUAAAAGGUACGCCGGGGAUAACAGGCUGAUCUCCUCUGAGAGUCCAUAUCGACGAGGAAGUUUGGCACCUCGAUGUCGGCUCAUCGCAUCCUGGGGGUGAAGAAGCUCCCAAGGGUUUGGCUGUUCGCCAAUUAAAGCGGUACGCGAGCUGGGUUCAGAACGUCGUAAGACAGUUCGGUCCUUAUCCAUCGUGGGCGUAGGGUAUUUGAGAGAGCUUGUUCCUAGUACGAGAGGACCGGAAUGAGUAAGCCUCUGGUGUACCAGUUGUUUACCAAAAGCAACGCUGGGUAGCUAGGCUUAUAAGAGAUAACCGCUGAAAGCAUCUAAGCGGGAAACUCGUCUCAAGAUUAGAUACCCCGUAAUAAAAAAAUGAGUUUGAGAACUUCGGUUCGAUAACAAAUGGAUUUAUUACAUAGUAAGACCCCUUGAAGACUACAAGGUUGAUAGGCUGGGUGUGUAAGUGCAGCAAUGCAUUAAGCUAACCAGUACUAAUAGGUCGAGAGUUUUAAUCAC